Molecule: ribosomal RNA, 440 nt
Filed under: uncultured Sulfuricurvum sp.
Lineage: Bacteria; Pseudomonadati; Campylobacterota; Epsilonproteobacteria; Campylobacterales; Sulfurimonadaceae
Description: bacterial SSU rRNA
Rfam family: Bacterial small subunit ribosomal RNA
Source: RNAcentral
CCUACGGGUGGCUGCAGUGAGGAAUAUUGCACAAUGGAGGAAACUCUGAUGCAGCAACGCCGCGUGGAGGAUGACGCAUUUCGGUGUGUAAACUCCUUUUAAGAGGGAAGAUAAUGACGGUACCUCUUGAAUAAGCACCGGCUAACUCCGUGCCAGCAGCCGCGGUAAUACGGAGGGUGCAAGCGUUACUCGGAAUCACUGGGCGUAAAGGGUGCGUAGGCUGGCUUCUAAGUCAGAUGUGAAAUCCAAUGGCUUAACCAUUGAACUGCAUUUGAAACUGGGAGCCUAGAGUUCAGAAGGGGCAGAUGGAAUUAGUGGUGUAGGGGUAAAAUCCGUAGAUAUCACUAGGAAUAUCAAAAGCGAAGGCGAUCUGCUGGGAUGAUACUGACGCUGAGGCACGAAAGCGUGGGGAGCAAACAGGAUUAGAUACCCUAGUAGUC